RNAcentral lists this ribosomal RNA (492 nucleotides) under uncultured bacterium. RNAcentral's name for it is "partial 16S ribosomal RNA". It matches the Rfam family "Bacterial small subunit ribosomal RNA", at positions 29 to 507 of the family's 1533-position model. The record is from RNAcentral.
AGUGAACGCUGGCGGUAGGCCUAACACAUGCAAGUCGAACGGCAGCACAGUAAGAGCUUGCUCUUACGGGUGGCGAGUGGCGGACGGGUGCGGAAUACAUCGGAAUCUACUUUUUCGUGGGGGAUAACGUAGGGAAACUUACGCUAAUACCGCAUACGACCUACGGGUGAAAGCAGGGGACCUUCGGACCUUGCGCGAUUCAAUGAGCCGAUGUCGGAUUAGCUAGUUGGCGGGGUAAAGGCCCACCAAGGCGACGAUCCGUAGCUGGUCUGAGAGGAUGAUCAGCCACACUGGAACUGAGACACGGUCCAGACUCCUACGGGAGGCAGCAGUGGGGAAUAUUGGACAAUGGGCGCAAGCCUGAUCCAGCCAUACCGCGUGGGUGAAGAAGGCCUUCGGGUUGUAAAGCCCUUUUGUUGGGAAAGAAAAGCAGCAGGUUAAUACCCCGCUGUUCUGACGGUACCAAAAGAAUAAGCACCGGCUAACUUCGUG